GGGGAUGCAAGGCAUAGACAGUUGACUUGUUUAUCUAAAUGCAUAUCGAGCAUAAACAUAAUCUCGUAAAAAUUUGUUUAAAUGUUAAUUGCAAAAUUGACUUCUAAAACAGUUGCAAAGAUUUCUCCAUACUUCAGUAUGCAGAAUCUAGCUCUUGUUCCAGCUCUCGCGUAAGCCAGGCUGGUGUCCUAUCUAUAGACUUCCGAUAUAUAGAUUAGGGCAUAAUAUUAUCGGGAUAGGGGAAAAACUGUUCUGACUUUCUUCCAAAACAAAGGAACUCGAUUAUAGGAUAUUUGGCUCGCUUAAGAAUUCUAUAAUCUAAACAAAAAAGCGUGCUAUGUAUGUAGACUUUUAGGUAACAACCUUCUGCACACGAGUUCAAUUCUCGUCAUCUCCACAU
This 400-nucleotide transfer-messenger RNA is filed under the name Candidatus Nomurabacteria bacterium CG10_big_fil_rev_8_21_14_0_10_35_16. It matches the Rfam family "transfer-messenger RNA". Rfam says of the family: Bacterial tmRNA, also known as 10Sa RNA or SsrA, is named for its dual tRNA and mRNA-like properties. Its role is to liberate the mRNA from a stalled ribosome. To accomplish this part of the tmRNA is used as a reading frame that ends in a translation stop signal. The record is from RNAcentral. RNAcentral also lists the same sequence under 1 other name. Lineage: Bacteria; Candidatus Nomuraibacteriota.